GGAUCCAGACUUUGAUUAUGGCUCAGGAUGAACGCUAGCUACAGGCUUAACACAUGCAAGUCGAGGGGAAACGACAUCAAAAGCUUGCUUUUGAUGGGCGUCGACCGGCGCACGGGUGAGUAACGCGUAUCCAACCUGCCCACCACUUGGGGAUAACCUUGCGAAAGUAAGACUAAUACCCAAUGACGUCUCUAGAAGACAUCUGAAGGAGAUUAAAGAUUUAUCGGUGAUGGAUGGGGAUGCGUCUGAUUAGCUUGUUGGCGGGGUAACGGCCCACCAAGGCGACGAUCAGUAGGGGUUCUGAGAGGAAGGUCCCCCACAUUGGAACUGAGACACGGUCCAAACUCCUACGGGAGGCAGCAGUGAGGAAUAUUGGUCAAUGGACGAGAGUCUGAACCAGCCAAGUAGCGUGCAGGAUGACGGCCCUAUGGGUUGUAAACUGCUUUUAUAAGGGAAUAAAGUGAGUCUCGUGAGACUUUUUGCAUGUACCUUAUGAAUAAGGACCGGCUAAUUCCGUGCCAGCAGCCGCGGUAAUACGGAAGGUCCGGGCGUUAUCCGGAUUUAUUGGGUUUAAAGGGAGCGUAGGCCGGAGAUUAAGCGUGUUGUGAAAUGUAGACGCUCAACGUCUGCACUGCAGCGCGAACUGGUUUCCUUGAGUACGCACAAAGUGAGCGGAAUUCGUGGUGUAGCGGUGAAAUGCUUAGAUAUCACGAAGAACUCCGAUUGCGAAGGCAGCUCACUGGAGCGCAACUGACGCUGAAGCUCGAAAGUGCGGGUAUCGAGCAGGAUUAGAUACCCUGGUAGUCCGCACGGUAAACGAUGGAUGCCCGCUGUUGGUCUGAAUAGGUCAGCGGCCAAGCGAAAGCAUUAAGCAUCCCACCUGGGGAGUACGCCGGCAACGGUGCAACUCAAAUGAAUUGACGG
This 924-nucleotide ribosomal RNA is filed under the name uncultured Bacteroidota bacterium. Its description in RNAcentral is "bacterial SSU rRNA". It matches the Rfam family "Bacterial small subunit ribosomal RNA", at positions 1 to 916 of the family's 1533-position model. The record is from RNAcentral. Lineage: Bacteria; Pseudomonadati; Bacteroidota.